RNAcentral lists this non-coding RNA (28 nucleotides) under Mus musculus (house mouse). Lineage: Eukaryota; Metazoa; Chordata; Mammalia; Rodentia; Muridae. The record is from RNAcentral.
UAUGUGGUUUUUUUCCUGGUGUCGUUAG